ACUUAAAUAGCUUAUUUAGAGCAUAAUAUUGAAGAUAUUAGGGAAACUUUAUGUUUUUAAGUA
This 63-nucleotide transfer RNA is filed under the name Impressosora ruficollis. RNAcentral describes it as "Eutrapela ruficollis tRNA-Phe". The record is from RNAcentral. Lineage: Eukaryota; Metazoa; Arthropoda; Insecta; Coleoptera; Tenebrionidae.